Anolis carolinensis (green anole) is the source of this 87-nucleotide microRNA precursor. Lineage: Eukaryota; Metazoa; Chordata; Lepidosauria; Squamata; Anolidae. The record is from Ensembl.
AAACCAGACUUGAGCAGUUGUAGGGCUAUGCAUUAGGACCCAGAAUGUAAUCUCAAUGCACUGCACUGCACUGCUUAGCUUUGGAAC